RNAcentral lists this ribosomal RNA (254 nucleotides) under uncultured bacterium. Its description in RNAcentral is "partial 16S ribosomal RNA". It matches the Rfam family "Bacterial small subunit ribosomal RNA", at positions 524 to 776 of the family's 1533-position model. The record is from RNAcentral.
UACAGAGACUGCAAGCGUUAUUCGGAUUCACUGGGCGUAAAGGGUGCGCAGGCGGCCAAGUGUGUUAGGCGUGAAAGCCCGAGGCUUAACCUCGGAAUUGCACCUAAAACUACAUGGGCUAGAGUACUGGAGAGGGUAACGGAAUUCACGGUGUAGCAGUGAAAUGCGUAGAUAUCGUGAGGAACACCAGAGGCGAAGGCGGUUACCUGGACAGUUACUGACGCUCAGGCACGAAAGCGUGGGGAGCAAAAGGG